This 30-nucleotide non-coding RNA is filed under the name Rattus norvegicus (Norway rat). The record is from RNAcentral. Lineage: Eukaryota; Metazoa; Chordata; Mammalia; Rodentia; Muridae.
UUAACAGUACCUUGUUACUGCCUCAUAGCC